RNAcentral lists this long non-coding RNA (462 nucleotides) under Linum usitatissimum (flax). RNAcentral's name for it is "long non-coding RNA (LUSI_LNC006492)". Lineage: Eukaryota; Viridiplantae; Streptophyta; Magnoliopsida; Malpighiales; Linaceae. The record is from RNAcentral.
CGUUUAGCUCACCGUAAGUCCUCUGGGAUACAACUGCCCCUUCUUCAUUGAUCCAUGAAUAUAAUGUCUUUUCUCUUGUGGAUGUUGAAGUUCCCCAAUGUUUCAGGUAUGCGUCAAGGCUAGGAAGUUCUGGGAACUCCACUCCUGGAAUCUCCCUAGGAUAUUGCAGGCUCCUGGUGCGAAUAUCGGAUUGUAGCGAGAACAAGCUCUAAAACGACGAGAAGAAAGACAAUAAUAGUUUCAGUGCAUCAGGUACUUGCUUGUUCAAUCACUUAAAAAUAAAUGUCUCUAAUCAUUUUUUGUUACCUUAGCAUAAGGAAACAUGGGUAAUGGAUUGUCAUUUGCAAAAUGCUUGCAGAUGAGAGCCAUGGAAUAAGAUGAGUUCCUCUCUGUGAGCUCAAAUGCCAUAAGCCCACCAACAUAAAGUGUAUUCCUUUGCCCUUGAAGUUCAUCUUCGAGUCU